Molecule: transfer RNA, 61 nt
Filed under: Cyanobacteria bacterium UBA11991
Lineage: Bacteria; Bacillati; Cyanobacteriota
Description: tRNA-OTHER
Rfam family: tRNA
About the family: Transfer RNA (tRNA) molecules are approximately 80 nucleotides in length. Their secondary structure includes four short double-helical elements and three loops (D, anti-codon, and T loops).
Source: RNAcentral
GCCGGCAUAGCUCAAUUGGCAGAGCAANNGUAGGUUGUAGGUUCGAUUCCUAUUACCGGCU